CUCUUCUCUUCUCUUAUUGAUGAAACACCUUCGUUAUGGAGUAGUAUGUGGUAUAUAGAUGUGGAAAUGAAAUGAUGAUGAGAAGGAAUGGAUCAGUGGUUGGCGUGGUGGUAGUGGUGGUAGGAGGAGACGGUGGCGGCAUAGGCGGCGUUGUUGUAGGAGUGGUGGUGGGGGUGGGGGUGGUAAGGAGAAGGAACCUGGUCGUGGAGGGAGGCGUGGGGGACGGGGGUGGAGGCGAAGAUGUGGUCGGAGGGGGAAGGGCCCUCGUUGGAGAGGCCCUGCAUCCGCUUCACGUAGAGGCGAUACUUCUGGAGGUGGCUGGCGACGUUCUCCCGGGUGAGGCCCUCCACGUUCAUCAGCUGCAUGAUCGUCUUGGGCACCGCGUUCUUCAUCCCCAGGUGCGCCACCACCUCCACGAACCUCUUGUGCAGCUGCGGCGUCCACACCAGCCGCGCCCUCUUGCUGCUGCUGUUGUUGGUGUUCCCGUUCCCCCCAUCCGCGCCUCCCCCUGACUCCGCCUCGUCCGCUCCCGUUCCCGCUCCCUUCGACGCGAACGCCGGGAACGAGCUCGACGACGACGACGACGCGCGCCGCAACCGGGACACCGUCGCCGCCGACGCGCGGUGCACGUCGAGCAGCGUGCGCCCGGGCUCCGGCG
Molecule: long non-coding RNA, 658 nt
Filed under: Oryza sativa (Asian cultivated rice)
Lineage: Eukaryota; Viridiplantae; Streptophyta; Magnoliopsida; Poales; Poaceae
Description: long non-coding RNA (OSAT_LNC001780)
Source: RNAcentral